Molecule: long non-coding RNA, 540 nt
Filed under: Ananas comosus (pineapple)
Lineage: Eukaryota; Viridiplantae; Streptophyta; Magnoliopsida; Poales; Bromeliaceae
Description: long non-coding RNA (ACOM_LNC019160)
Source: RNAcentral
UUGAGAGAUUUGAGUUGUCGUGUUUUUUUUUUUUUUUUUUCUUUUGAGGAAAAUCGUUUGAGAGCGAAAAUUUAUUUAAAUAAAAUAAGAUGAUAAAAAAAUAAAAACUUCAAAAGAGAACCAUACAGUACAUUUUUUAUCAGACAUAUCCCAAUUGUCUAGCUGAUCAGCUUGUAUAACAUUCCUGGAGAAGCGAUAAUUCUAUCUAAAAUAAAAGGCGUGACAUACGUCGAUGAAGGACUGUAGUGUUUUGAGCUUCAUUCUAGCGACCUAAGUGAACGGCUCGGAUUGGUCAAAUCUGAAGUGGAUCGCUUUAUUAAUAAUCAAUGCUGAUCGUUCGAGAAUAUCUGAAUUCGUUUUCCUGGGAAGGUAUUCAAGAGAAAUUUGAUUGCUUUCGACACUGUUUCAAUUUCAGUUGACAACGCAUCAUGAACAUUUUCAACAAAUCUGAAACGCACAUACAAAUACCUUACUGGUUAAUAACGAGAGCACCAAUUCCACCCGAAUCACCAUCUCUUCAGCUACCAUCUAUCCAGACUU